CAGCCGUAAACUAUGCGCGUUAGGUGUAUCGGUGACCACGAGUCACCGAGGUGCCGAAGGGAAACCGUGAAACGUGCCGCCUGGGAAGUACGGUCGCAAGGCUGAAACUUAAAGGAAUUGGCGGGGAGGCACCACAACAGGUGGAGCCUGCGGUUUAAUUGGACUCAACGCCGGGAAGCUCACCGGAUAAGACAGCGGAAUGAUUGCCGGGCUGAAGACUCUGCAUGACUAGCUGAGAGGAGGUGCAUGGCGUAGACGUCU
Molecule: ribosomal RNA, 261 nt
Filed under: uncultured archaeon
Lineage: Archaea
Description: partial 16S ribosomal RNA
Rfam family: Archaeal small subunit ribosomal RNA
Source: RNAcentral